UAUCCAAUUUAACCCGAUUUAUCAAAGAAACCCACAAAUUGGAUCCCUAACCCAAUUGAAUAAACCCUAGAAUUGGAAGCCCAACCCAAUUGAAUAAACCCUAGUCCUCUGAUAGUCUGAUAGAUACACCUAUACAAAAAUUGUUUUCAUCAACAACAAUACC
This is a long non-coding RNA of Ipomoea nil (Japanese morning glory), 163 nucleotides long. RefSeq lists it as uncharacterized. The transcript has 3 exons. The record is from RefSeq and is a predicted model, not a curated record. Lineage: Eukaryota; Viridiplantae; Streptophyta; Magnoliopsida; Solanales; Convolvulaceae.